GAACGAUGUGGUGACCUGUGUGAAGAUCGACGAGGUGAACUACGAGGAGAUCGACGUGGAGAACAGCGAGGAGAUCGACGUGGAGAUAGGCCUGACGAGCUGCGUCUGUAAGGUGACCUUUGCUGAGAUCUAUGUGGUGAACGGUGAUAGCUUCGCGAAGCUCUUAGGGAAUCC
Molecule: long non-coding RNA, 174 nt
Organism: Haliotis rubra (blacklip abalone)
Lineage: Eukaryota; Metazoa; Mollusca; Gastropoda; Lepetellida; Haliotidae
Exons: 3
Source: RefSeq, a predicted model, not a curated record